GAAGGCAGGCUCGCUGGUUUGCUGAGAUCUGUCAGAGUCUGACUGGCUGGCUACAUAUCUGUCUCUGGAACAAUAGGUACCUGUAUUCUGCACGGACUGCUGGGCAGCACUAGCACUCUGGAGAAGGUCUGCCGCUGUCUGCACUUUCCUGGUUCUAUGCAGGCAGAUGAGUGUCACAGCUGUAACUGAGGCACAGAGCAGUACACACAGUGGAGCCGAUUUCCGCGAUGGCGAGAGGGGGCACCGGAGGUGACAACAAUAA
This 262-nucleotide long non-coding RNA is filed under the name Homo sapiens (human). RNAcentral's name for it is "HSALNT0193631". The record is from RNAcentral. Lineage: Eukaryota; Metazoa; Chordata; Mammalia; Primates; Hominidae.